UACGGAGGAUCCAAGCGUUAUCCGGAUUUAUUGGGUUUAAAGGGUGCGUAGGCGGCUUAUUAAGUCAGGGGUGAAAGACGGUGGCUCAACCAUCGCAGUGCCCUUGAUACUGAUGAGCUUGAAUGAACUAGAGGUAGGCGGAAUGUGACAAGUAGCGGUGAAAUGCAUAGAUAUCGUCAAGAACACCUAUAGCGAAGGCAGCUUACUGGGCUGUAACUGACGCUGAGGCACGAAAGUGUGGGGAUCAAACAGG
RNAcentral lists this ribosomal RNA (253 nucleotides) under uncultured bacterium. Its description in RNAcentral is "partial 16S ribosomal RNA". It matches the Rfam family "Bacterial small subunit ribosomal RNA", at positions 524 to 776 of the family's 1533-position model. The record is from RNAcentral.